AGAAGUCUGAGACUUUGAAUGAUAGUCUAGUAUUAAGGAACACUGGAUAAUCUUAUAAUAAGCGAGACUUUCUUGCCACCAAAGGCCAAACCCCAUGCCCACUUCUGCCAUAUCAAGAUCUCUGGAACAAUGGGACUUCCUGUUUGGGCCAAGGGGAAGUGACUGAAAGUCACACCUUACUGAGGCUUGGCAAAGCCUUCUCUAUCGGUUUCCUCACCUGUGAUACUGCCAGGAGGCUGAGACAACUGAACAGAGUGACAUAACAUCCAGGAGGGGCUUCUCACCCAGUGGUCAUCACAGAAGGGCAGGAGGGCCCCUAACAAGGCAUUAAUUCCCUGGAUGACUUUCAGUUUGACCUGCAGCUGGCCCAGGCCCUAGGUGAGUCAGUGUUUGAGAAGGGUCUCCGUGAGAAAGUGACCCAGGAGAACACCAGUGUCCGGUGGGAGCUAGGCCAGCUUCAGCAGCAGCUGAAGCAAAAGGAGCAGGAAGCCUCACAGCUGAAGCAGCAGGUGGAGAUGCUACAGGACCAUAAACGGGAGCUGCUGGGGUCACCCUCUCUGGGGGAAAAUUGCGUUGCUGGCUUGAAGGAGAGGCUCUGGAAGUUGGA
Molecule: small RNA, 607 nt
Filed under: Pan troglodytes (chimpanzee)
Lineage: Eukaryota; Metazoa; Chordata; Mammalia; Primates; Hominidae
Description: processed transcript
Source: RNAcentral